This 446-nucleotide ribosomal RNA is filed under the name uncultured bacterium. Its description in RNAcentral is "bacterial SSU rRNA". It matches the Rfam family "Bacterial small subunit ribosomal RNA", at positions 329 to 792 of the family's 1533-position model. The record is from RNAcentral.
UUCCAGACUCCUACGGGAGGCAGCAGUGGGGGAUAUUGCACAAUGGGGGGAACCCUGAUGCAGCGACGCCGCGUGGGUGAAGAAGCGCCUCGGCGCGUAAAGCCCUGUCAGCAGGGAAGAAAAUGACGGUACCUGAAGAAGAAGCCCCGGCUAACUACGUGCCAGCAGCCGCGGUAAUACGUAGGGGGCAAGCGUUAUCCGGAUUUACUGGGUGUAAAGGGGGCGCAGACGGCGAUGCAAGCCAGGAGUGAAGGCCCGGGGCCCAACCCCGGGACUGCUCUUGGAACUGCGUGGCUGGAGUGCAGGAGGGGCAGGCGGAAUUCCUGGUGUAGCGGUGAAAUGCGUAGAUAUCAGGAGGAACACCGGUGGCGAAGGCGGCCUGCUGGACUGCAACUGACGUUGAGGCCCGACAGCGUGGGGAGCAAACAGGAUUAGAUCCCCCUGUA